AGGGGUAACAGGCCGCUUCGGUGGUGCUGACGACCGGCGCACGGGUGCGUAACGCGUAUGCAACCUACCUUUAACUGGGACAUAGCCCCGAGAAAUCGGGAUUAAUAUCCCAUAAUAUCCAGAAAACGCAUGUUUUCUGGAUUAAAGUUCCGGCGGUUAAAGAUGGGCAUGCGUGGCAUUAGUUAGUUGGUGAGGUAACAGCUCACCAAGGCAAUGAUGCCUAGGGGUCCUGAGAGGGUUUCCCCCACACUGGUACUGAGACACGGACCAGACUCCUACGGGAGGCAGCAGUAAGGAAUAUUGGGCAAUAGGCGCAAGCCUGACCCAGCCAUGCCGCGUGCAGGAUGACGGCCCUAUGGGUUGUAAACUGCUUUUGUAUGGGAAAAAACUCCCGCACGUGUGCGGGACUGAUUGUACCAUACGAAUAAGCAUCGGCUAACUCCGUGCCAGCAGCCGCGGUAAUACGGAGGAUGCAAGCGUUAUCCGGAUUCAUUGGGUUUAAAGGGUGCGCAGGCGGAUUAGUAAGUCAGUGGUGAAAGCUCCCGGCUCAACCGGGAAAAUGCCAUUGAUACUGUUAAUCUUGAGUACAGUUGAGGUAGGCGGAAUGUAUCAUGUAGCGGUGAAAUGCAUAGAUAUGAUACAGAACACCGAUAGCGAAGGCAGCUUACCAAACUGUAACUGACGCUCAUGCACGAAAGCGUGGGGAGCAAACAGGAUUAGAUACCCUGGUAGUCCACGCUGUAAACUAUGAUCACUCGCUGUUGGCGAUACACUGUCAGCGGCUUAGCGAAAGUGUUAAGUGAUCCACCUGGGGAGUACGAUCGCAAGGUUGAAACUCAAAGGAAUUGACGGGGGCCCGCACGAGCGGAGGAGCAUGUGGUUUAAUUCGAUGAUACGCGAGGAACCUUACCUGGGCUUAAAUGCAGAACGACCUCCCGAGAAAUCGGGACUUCCUUCGGGACGGACUGCAAGGUGCUGCAUGGUUGUCGUCAGCUCGUGCCGUGAGGUGUCGGGUUAAGUCCCAUAACGAGCGCAACCCUUAUCCUUAGUUGCCAACAGGUAAUGCUGGGAACUCUAAGGAAACUGCCUACGCAAGUAGUGAGGAAGGUGGGGAUGACGUCAAAUCAGCACGGCCCUUAUGUCCGGGGCUACACACGUGCUACAAUGGUCGGUACAGAGGGCAGCUACCUGGCAACAGGAUGCUAAUCUC
RNAcentral lists this ribosomal RNA (1210 nucleotides) under uncultured organism. RNAcentral describes it as "bacterial SSU rRNA". It matches the Rfam family "Bacterial small subunit ribosomal RNA", at positions 65 to 1275 of the family's 1533-position model. The record is from RNAcentral.